Molecule: ribosomal RNA, 876 nt
Filed under: Didymella pomorum
Lineage: Eukaryota; Fungi; Ascomycota; Dothideomycetes; Pleosporales; Didymellaceae
Description: partial 28S ribosomal RNA
Rfam family: Eukaryotic large subunit ribosomal RNA
Source: RNAcentral
ACAGGGAUUGCCCUAGUAACGGCGAGUGAAGCGGCAACAGCUCAAAUUUGAAAUCUGGCGUCUUCGGCGUCCGAGUUGUAAUUUGCAGAGGGCGCUUUGGCAUUGGCAGCGGUCCAAGUUCCUUGGAACAGGACGUCACAGAGGGUGAGAAUCCCGUACGUGGUCGCUAGCCUUUACCGUGUAAAGCCCCUUCGACGAGUCGAGUUGUUUGGGAAUGCAGCUCUAAAUGGGAGGUAAAUUUCUUCUAAAGCUAAAUACUGGCCAGAGACCGAUAGCGCACAAGUAGAGUGAUCGAAAGAUGAAAAGCACUUUGGAAAGAGAGUUAAAAAGCACGUGAAAUUGUUGAAAGGGAAGCGCUUGCAGCCAGACUUGCCUGUAGUUGCUCAUCCGGGUUUCUACCCGGUGCACUCUUCUAUAGGCAGGCCAGCAUCAGUUUGGGCGGUUGGAUAAAGGUCUCUGUCAUGUACCUCUCUUCGGGGAGAACUUAUAGGGGAGACGACAUGCAACCAGCCUGGACUGAGGUCCGCGCAUCUGCUAGGAUGCUGGCGUAAUGGCUGUAAGCGGCCCGUCUUGAAACACGGACCAAGGAGUCUAACAUCUAUGCGAGUGUUUGGGUGUCAAGCCCGAGCGCGUAAUGAAAGUGAACGGAGGUGGGAACCUUUCGGGGUGCACCAUCGACCGAUCCUGAUGUCUUCGGAUGGAUUUGAGUAAGAGCAUAGCUGUUGGGACCCGAAAGAUGGUGAACUAUGCUUGAAUAGGGUGAAGCCAGAGGAAACUCUGGUGGAGGCUCGCAGCGGUUCUGACGUGCAAAUCGAUCGUCAAAUUUGGGCAUAGGGGCGAAAGACUAAUCGAACUAUCUAGUAGCUGGUUCCUGCC